CGCUGAAGCCGACAGCUUGCUGUUGGUGGAUGAGUGGCGAACGGGUGAGUAACACGUGAGUAACCUGCCCCUGAUUUCGGGAUAAGCCUGGGAAACUGGGUCUAAUACCGGAUAUGACCAAUCCUUGCAUGAGGGUUGGUGGAAAGUUUUUCGAUCGGGGAUGGGCUCGCGGCCUAUCAGCUUGUUGGUGGGGUAAUGGCCUACCAAGGCGACGACGGGUAGCCGGCCUGAGAGGGCGACCGGCCACACUGGGACUGAGACACGGCCCAGACUCCUACGGGAGGCAGCAGUGGGGAAUAUUGCACAAUGGGGGAAACCCUGAUGCAGCGACGCAGCGUGCGGGAUGACGGCCUUCGGGUUGUAAACCGCUUUCAGCAGGGAAGAAGCGAAAGUGACGGUACCUGCAGAAGAAGUACCGGCUAACUACGUGCCAGCAGCCGCGGUAAUACGUAGGGUACGAGCGUUGUCCGGAAUUAUUGGGCGUAAAGAGCUCGUAGGUGGUUGGUCACGUCUGCUGUGGAAACGCAACGCUUAACGUUGCGCGUGCAGUGGGUACGGGCUGACUAGAGUGCAGUAGGGGAGUCUGGAAUUCCUGGUGUAGCGGUGAAAUGCGCAGAUAUCAGGAGGAACACCGGUGGCGAAGGCGGGACUCUGGGCUGUAACUGACACUGAGGAGCGAAAGCAUGGGGAGCGAACAGGAUUAGAUACCCUGGUAGUCCAUGCCGUAAACGUUGGGCACUAGGUGUGGGGGACAUUCCACGUUCUCCGCGCCGUAGCUAACGCAUUAAGUGCCCCGCCUGGGGAGUAC
RNAcentral lists this ribosomal RNA (808 nucleotides) under Brevibacterium sp. RNAcentral describes it as "bacterial SSU rRNA". It matches the Rfam family "Bacterial small subunit ribosomal RNA", at positions 65 to 883 of the family's 1533-position model. The record is from RNAcentral. Lineage: Bacteria; Bacillati; Actinomycetota; Actinomycetes; Micrococcales; Brevibacteriaceae.